This 502-nucleotide ribosomal RNA is filed under the name uncultured bacterium. RNAcentral's name for it is "partial 16S ribosomal RNA". It matches the Rfam family "Bacterial small subunit ribosomal RNA", at positions 30 to 523 of the family's 1533-position model. The record is from RNAcentral.
AUUGAACGCUGGCGGCAUGCCUUACACAUGCAAGUCGAACGGCAGCAUAGGAGCUUGCUCCUGAUGGCGAGUGGCGAACGGGUGAGUAAUAUAUCGGAACGUGCCCUAGAGUGGGGGAUAACUAGUCGAAAGAUUAGCUAAUACCGCAUACGAUCUACGGAUGAAAGUGGGGGAUCGCAAGACCUCAUGCUCCUGGAGCGGCCGAUAUCUGAUUAGCUAGUUGGCGGGGUAAAAGCCUACCAAGGCGACGAUCAGUAGCUGGUCUGAGAGGACGACCAGCCACACUGGGACUGAGACACGGCCCAGACUCCUACGGGAGGCAGCAGUGGGGAAUUUUGGACAAUGGGGGCAACCCUGAUCCAGCAAUGCCGCGUGAGUGAAGAAGGCCUUCGGGUUGUAAAGCUCUUUUGUCAGGGAAGAAACGGUUCUGGAUAAUACCCAGAGCUAAUGACGGUACCUGAAGAAUAAGCACCGGCUAACUACGUGCCAGCAGCCGCAGUAA